UAAGGAAUAUUGCUCAAUGGGAGAAAUCCUGAAGCAGCAACGCCGCGUGGAGGAUGAAGGGUCUAUGACUUGUAAACUCCUGUAAAGAAGGAAAAAAUUCCCAUUUGAUGGGAGAUGAUGGUACUUCUGGAGUAAGCCCCGGCUAACUACGUGCCAGCAGCCGCGGUAAUACGUAGGGGGCAAGCGUUGUCCGGAUUUACUGGGUGUAAAGGGUGCUCAUGCGGAUUUGUAAGUCAGAGGUGAAAGCUUACAGCUUAACUGUGAAACUGCCUUGGAUACUGCAAGCCUAGAGUAUGGAAGAGCGUGAUGGACUAUCUGGUGUAGCAGUGAAAUGCGUAGAUAUCAGCUAGAACACCAAUGGCGAAGGCAGUCACUUGGUCCAUUACUGACGCUAAAGCACGAAAGCGUGGGUAGCAAACA
This 420-nucleotide ribosomal RNA is filed under the name uncultured bacterium. Its description in RNAcentral is "bacterial SSU rRNA". It matches the Rfam family "Bacterial small subunit ribosomal RNA", at positions 355 to 774 of the family's 1533-position model. The record is from RNAcentral.